Molecule: ribosomal RNA, 446 nt
Filed under: uncultured bacterium
Lineage: Bacteria
Description: partial 16S ribosomal RNA
Rfam family: Bacterial small subunit ribosomal RNA
Source: RNAcentral
CCUACGGGUGGCAGCAGUCGAGAAUCAUUCACAAUGGGGGAAACCCUGAUGGUGCGACGCCGCGUGGGGGAAUGAAGUUCUUCGGAUUGUAAACCCCUGUCAUGUGGGAGCAAAUUAAAAAGAUAGUACCACAAGAGGAAGAGACGGCUAACUCUGUGCCAGCAGCCGCGGUAAUACAGAGGUCUCAAGCGUUGUUCGGAAUCACUGGGCGUAAAGCGUGCGUAGGCUGUUUCGUAAGUCGUGUGUGAAAGGCGCGGGCUCAACCCGCGGACGGCACAUGAUACUGCGAGACUAGAGUAAGGGAGGGGGAACCGGAAUUCUCGGUGUAGCAGUGAAAUGCGUAGAUAUCGAGAGGAACACUCGUGGCGAAGGCGGGUUCCUGGACAUUAACUGACGCUGAGGCACGAAGGCCAGGGGAGCGAAAGGGAUUAGAUACCCCUGUAGUC